GAAAAGAGUUCAAGAAAUAACUCAUCCCUGGACUUCCAUGUGCUUCCAGACUGCAGUGUUUCCUCCCACUUCUCCUUCCUCAGACAUUUCCUGGGAAAACAAAACACAAACCCACAACCCACAUUUACAGCUUUAAGCCUCCCGUUUCAGUACGCAUCCUUCGCCAGCAACUUCUCCAAAGGCCGUCGGGGCUGCUCUUCAGGCAGCCUGGCCGACCCGACAACACUACGGGGCAGGCAGCUCCCGGCAUCACCGGGCCGAGCCGUGGAUUCGCGGGGCAGCCGCGAAGGAACGUGGAGAGCGCUGGUCACACGACGAACCCAUACUCACAUAUUCCUUCACGUUUUUCGUCUUCACGGCCUUGUAGGAGGAGUAGGCGGGGUAGAGCGUGCCGAAUAUCAGCCUGCAAGAAGAACAGACCCCUCAGCACUUCACGGCUCCUCUGCGUCCUGCACCGCCGUUGCCCAUGCCCGCCUCCACGGCCGGGAUCCCCCGGCGGCUCCCACUCCUCCUCCCCCACCGCCGCGGUGCUGCCCUUAUAGGAGGCCGCCGCUCCCGGGCCGCGGAAGCCUACACAGAGUCGUCAGGACGCGGCCGCAGAACGCGAGACAGCGGCCGCCCCGCAGUCCCCCCCAGGGAUGCGGGGUUCUUCCCUGGGCUGGAAUCUGCGGCACCGCUGCAGCUUCGCUCCAGGCGACGGCCGCGCCCCAGGCGGGGCACCCGGCCCGAGAAAGCCCCGCGCAUCCUUCCUCCCAGGGCUGCGGUACUCACACCACGAGACGAGAGAUGAUCCAGGAGACCAUGGCGGCGCCGGGCAGGGUCGGGCGGCGACGCGGGGCUCCGCGGUGGCAGGAGGCGGCUCUUAAAGGGCGGGUUCCUGCAGCAAGCACCGUGCAGCCCCGCCCCAGCUUCUUACGGGGCGGAGUCGACGGGCCGCAUCGCGCCCCGAACCUCCCCGCCCCGUUCGGGCAGCACGCGGCACUGGGGCGGUUUCCGCGGCGUUCGUUCCAGGCGCGAGAACGGUGCGCUCCCCGGGGGACGGAGCGGCCUCUCUCGCGCGCGGAGGAAGGUUACGGCAGCGUGGCUGUAAAGAGAACCUACCGGAAAGAUGGCAGUUUCCUAUCAGCUGACAGCAGCUCUGGUACCUGA
Molecule: long non-coding RNA, 1149 nt
Filed under: Pavo cristatus (Indian peafowl)
Lineage: Eukaryota; Metazoa; Chordata; Aves; Galliformes; Phasianidae
Description: lncRNA (ENSPSTG00000002413.1)
Source: RNAcentral